AUUCAUAUAGUUUAAAUAAAACAUUAUUUUUUCAAAAUAAAAAUAAAUUUAAUUUUUAUGAA
This 62-nucleotide transfer RNA is filed under the name Ammophila sabulosa. RNAcentral's name for it is "tRNA-Glu". The record is from RNAcentral. Lineage: Eukaryota; Metazoa; Arthropoda; Insecta; Hymenoptera; Sphecidae.